This 253-nucleotide ribosomal RNA is filed under the name uncultured bacterium. Its description in RNAcentral is "partial 16S ribosomal RNA". It matches the Rfam family "Bacterial small subunit ribosomal RNA", at positions 524 to 776 of the family's 1533-position model. The record is from RNAcentral.
UACGAAGGGGGCUAGCGUUGCUCGGAAUCACUGGGCGUAAAGCGCACGUAGGCGGCUUGUUAAGUCAGGGGUGAAAUCCUGGAGCUCAACUCCAGAACUGCCUUUGAUACUGGCGAGCUUGAGUUCGGGAGAGGUGAGUGGAACUGAGAGUGUAGAGGUGAAAUUCGUAGAUAUUCGCAAGAACACCAGUGGCGAAGGCGGCUCACUGGCCCGAUACUGACGCUGAGGUGCGAAAGCGUGGGGAGCAAACAGG